Mastomys coucha (southern multimammate mouse) is the source of this 836-nucleotide long non-coding RNA. RefSeq lists it as uncharacterized. The record is from RefSeq and is a predicted model, not a curated record. NCBI's taxonomy places the organism in Eukaryota, Metazoa, Chordata, Mammalia, Rodentia, Muridae. The transcript has 4 exons.
GAACCAGGUGAGAGAGAGAGAGAACACAGUCCAGCAGAGCUUCAUGGGGCUGAGCAGGAUGGUGAGUGUCGAGGCUCGGAUCUCUUACCUUCCGGAGAAUAACUACCCUGAGCUGAAGAGCUGAUAACAUGCUCUGAACCUCUGGCCUUUCUCUCUGGAUGGACACCCAUCUUUGUGUCCUGGCAUGUGGACUGUCUCCUGCCAUUUGCCAGGCACUUACUUUACCAAGUCAGUUCUGGUUUAGCUCUGACUUCAGUAUUUCCAUUCUAAUCCCCACCUCCUUCUACUUCAAUCCUUGAGCUGGAGGACCCAAGCUCUGAGCUCUCAGAGCUUCCCAUUGAUGGACCGACACUGGAAAACCCCGACACUGGAAACCGACACUGGAAAACCCUGACACUGGAAACCGACACUGGAAAACCCCGACACUGGAAACCGACACUGGAAAACCCUGACACUGGAAACCGACACUGGAAAACCCUGACACUGGAAACUGACACUGGAAAACCCUGACACUGGAAACUGACACUGGAAAACCCUGACACUGGAAACUGACACUGGAAAACCCUGACACUGGAAACUGACACUGGAAAACCCCGACACUGGAAACCGACACUGGAAAACCCCGACACUGGAAACCGACACUGGAAACUGACACUGGAAAACCCUGACACUGGAAACCGACACUGGAAAACCCUGACACUGGAAACCCAUCUCUCUUGCUGGACUCUGACCACAUGAAAAAAUAGACUGGUUUCAGAAUCUACAACAAACGAAGAUGCUGACUUUCUACAAUUCUGAUGCAAAACAAGUGAUAAAGAAGUAAACAACAGGUUACA